ACAGUGGACGCGAGCAUCUGUGGCCAAGUUUUUAAGGGCGCACGGUGGAUGCCUUGGCACCAGGAACCGAUGAAGGACGUGGGAGGCCACGAUAGUCCCCGGGGAGCUGUCAACCAAGCUUUGAUCCGGGGGUUUCCGAAUGGGGAAACCCGGCAGUCGUCAUGGGCUGUCACCCGCUGCUGAACACAUAGGCAGUGUGGAGGGAACGAGGGGAAGUGAAACAUCUCAGUACCCUCAGGAAGAGAAAACAACCGUGAUUCCGGGAGUAGUGGCGAGCGAAACCGGAUGAGGCCAAACCGUAUGCGUGUGAUACCCGGCAGGGGUUGCGCAUGCGGGGUUGUGGGAGUUCUCUUGAUCAAUCUGCCGAUUGGUCGGCAAGUCAGAAACCGUUGGUGUAGGCGAAGGACAUGCGAAAGGUCCGGCGUAGAGGGUAAGACCCCCGUAGCUGAAACAUCAACGGCUUGCUUGAGAACCACCCAAGUAGCACGGGGCCCGAGAAAUCCCGUGUGAAUCUGGCGGGACCACCCGCUAAGCCUAAAUAUUCCCUGGUGACCGAUAGCGGAUAGUACCGUGAGGGAAUGGUGAAAAGUACCGCGGGAGCGGAGUGAAAUAGUACCUGAAACCGUGUGCCUACAAGCCGUGGGAGCGUCGCUGGCAGCACUUGUGCUGUCAGUCGUGACUGCGUGCCUUUUGAAGAAUGAGCCUGCGAGUUAGCGGUGUGUAGCGAGGUUAACCCGUGUGGGGAAGCCGUAGCGAAAGCGAGUCCGAAUAGGGCGAUUGAGUUGCACGCUCUAGACCCGAAGC
Molecule: ribosomal RNA, 804 nt
Filed under: Streptomyces sp. FT05W
Lineage: Bacteria; Bacillati; Actinomycetota; Actinomycetes; Kitasatosporales; Streptomycetaceae
Description: bacterial LSU rRNA
Rfam family: Bacterial large subunit ribosomal RNA
Source: RNAcentral